This is a long non-coding RNA of Astatotilapia calliptera (eastern happy), 2356 nucleotides long. Lineage: Eukaryota; Metazoa; Chordata; Actinopteri; Cichliformes; Cichlidae. The record is from Ensembl.
GUUAGAGAUCAGAGGUUUCAACACUAAUGUCAGUAAUGAAGAACACUGGCAUUAUCAUCUAAUAUUCUCUCUGUGUGAAUGGGAAAACCAUGUACAGUACAUGUUAAAGUGCUAUUAAACCCAAUGUGGGCAGUUAUCUUUUCAAAGUACACAUCACAAAAACACAAAUCUCGCUGCUAUAACUGGGAGCAUUGGGAUCAGACCAUUAAGGGAAAAUAAACAAGAGGAACUUUAAAGACUUUUUCUAUGUAACAAUAUAUUUUUAUUUACUUCUUUACUUAUGAUACAAUCAUGGGACUUCGGACCAGAAUCUCUUUGUCUGCACGUCCAACGUGCCUCAUGGGACCAUCAUCAACCCGCUGUUCACUUCAGCAAAUUCAGGAACUGGAUGACGAAUCCGGAUAUUUCAGUAGUGAUACAAUUUUCUCUGUUUGAACUGACUGAAGUGAAAGUGGGUUCAGCCCAGCCUCCAUGCCCUCUACAGCAGCGGGCACAACAACACACACUGCCUCUGACGUAGUAUUGUGUACAGUAGGAUGUGGUUCAUGUUCUGUACUUGUAUUGUUGUUGACUGUUGAUGGAGCUUAAAGGGACCCCAAAUGUUUAAAGAAUUAUCAUACUGUAAUCACAUUGUAUUGAAAACAAUUUGGAGUGCAUUUCAUUUUUUUGACAUGAAAUUUACAGCUUCCGGGCUCUUAGUGUUUAUUGUAAGAAUUCAACUUUCUGCUGAAGAUCUUUAAAUUUACUACUUUUUUUUUUUUUUUUUUUAACUCAGAUGCUAAUGUAUAGCCAUUUAGAGAAUGUUCUUCUUUCACUUCAUUAGAAACUACUGCAAGCUUACGUUUUAAUUUCUUGACUCAGAAUGAAUACAGAAACUACAGAGUGAAAUUUGCAAAAGUCAUCGGCACUGGAUGAUUAUUCUGGCUCAUUCCAGGAAAUCAACAAUAGAAACUAUGAGCAUGUGGACCAAACAAAACUAAAACUUCCAAUCAUUUAAAAGUGCUAAGGUGUGUAUUUACAUUAUUAUACAGGAGUCUAGCAUUGUCUUGUACUUUUGAAAUUUUAAACUUAAUAUAAAGCUAAAUCUUAAGCACCUGAAAAGCUGUUUACCAUUUUCACAUGCAUAGUUAACUAUGUUGGCACAGAGACUAUUUUUAAACUUGUGCUAAUAUAUGAACCACUUUCAGCACAUUAAAAAAAUUAAGGUGGAUGCUUCUCAUCCAGCAUUGACAGCUGAGUUAAACAGCAGGCAAACAGAUUACACAAUAGGGAAACUCUCCAAGCUGGAUCCAGUCCAGAGUCACUUUGUUAUCAGAGUACACUCUCUGUAGAUCAAUAGUGGCAAGAGUUUUUGGGGGUCUUCUGGGGUAAAAAUGAAAAAUACUGCAAAAUAUUUAAGUGACCAUAUCCAUUUGUAUUUAAUGUCUAUUAUUCAAAUAUUGAAAUAUAGUGUAUCCAAAAAGUAUUUUUACACAAACAGUUCUUGAAACAUGCCAGCUGCCCGCAGGUAUUAUGGGUUACAGUCUAAAUUUAAUCUGUCUAAACUCUUUUGGCUGACUAAAACUUGUUUGCCCUUUAACAGUCACUGUAGCUAGGAUUUUGCACUUGAUUGGCAGAGGUAAGAAAGCAGAACUCAGUGAACUGAUAUCUGUAAUCUAGUGGUGGAAAUUGUACACACUAUAACUUUAAAGUUUUAAAUCUUUCACUAGCCUUAGCUAGCCAAAGUCGAUCAGCUUGUCAGUUAUGUACGGAUCUGUUCUUUAGUUCAGACAUAAACCGGUCCCCAACCUUUUUGCACCAUGGACCGGUUUAUGUCUGACAAUAUUUUGACAGACCGGCUUUUAAGGUGUCGCCGAUAAAUGCAACAAAAUAAAACCAGUACCAAAAAUAAAAAGAUUUGUUCAUAACACGUGUGAAAAGACCCAGGGAAACGGAGUUAAUGAUAAAAAAUAACGAAAAAAAACUAUUAAAAACGCUGAAAACCAUAAAUUACACGCUCGAGCCUCAACUCUCGCGGCCCAGUACCAAACGACUCAUGGACCGCUCCCAGUCCAUGGCCCGGGGGUUGGGGACUGGCUGGUGUAGAUUAUACCUAAUUAAAAAAUCUACUCAUUUGCAAACAUUACCCUAUUGAGGAAUUUUAGCUAAUGAAAAGUUUCUAGCCCAGUGGUUCAAAGGUGUUUUAAUUUAAAUCUUCGGUCUCUCUUGCACAUUGAUUCAUGUGGUAUUAACUUCUUUUCAUGAAUACAUGCAUUGGAAUACUACUUUCUUAAGCUUUACCAAUUCUGCUAUGAGUUGUACAUGUGCAUUUACUCAAAGAUCAUUUUUAAUUGUACAGUUUAAAAAAAAAAAAAAA